Long non-coding RNA from Sarcophilus harrisii (Tasmanian devil), 549 nucleotides. RefSeq lists it as uncharacterized. Lineage: Eukaryota; Metazoa; Chordata; Mammalia; Dasyuromorphia; Dasyuridae. The transcript has 3 exons. The record is from RefSeq and is a predicted model, not a curated record.
GGGGCUUGCUCUGUAAAGACCAGAGCUGGAGGAUGCUCUUUCUAGGAAGGUGAAAUGGGGCUGAGGCAGGGUAGACACCAUGUCUGAAGUGGAUGAGAUGGGAAGCCUGGUCUUUGAUUGAUUGCAACAUAGUCCAAUCUAAGCCUCUUCUGGGCUCUGGGAGACGAGCAUCUGGAAAGACUUGAGAGUUCUGGGUACCUACAAAUCCUGCUUCAACCUGCCAUUUGGUGGACGAUGGACUAGAUGGCCUGGCCAAUGAAGGGGAUUGGAGAAGAGAAAAAUCCUUCCUUCGAAGAAUGAGCUUCUCUCUCCUUGAUUUCUGCCUCCCAGAUCAGAUGCAUUCAAAAUGCUGAAUUCAACCAGUUUUUACUCUAGUUAUUUAAAGUCCCACUCCAAUGUUCAGAUGAGGUUUUUUUUUUCUUUUUCUUUUAAUUCCAUCAGUGAAAAGGGUUUGCCCUUCAUAAAAGAAUCAUCAGGUGUGGCUGCAAUUUUAAUUUUGGUUUGUUGCAUUCUAAAUUGUUACCAUAUUAAACACUCUUAUGUUUAUUA